This 19-nucleotide ribosomal RNA is filed under the name Bipolaris sorghicola. RNAcentral describes it as "partial 28S ribosomal RNA". The record is from RNAcentral. RNAcentral also lists the same sequence under 2 other names. Lineage: Eukaryota; Fungi; Ascomycota; Dothideomycetes; Pleosporales; Pleosporaceae.
GGAUACCCGCUGAACUUAA